This 393-nucleotide ribosomal RNA is filed under the name uncultured bacterium. RNAcentral's name for it is "bacterial SSU rRNA". It matches the Rfam family "Bacterial small subunit ribosomal RNA", at positions 505 to 898 of the family's 1533-position model. The record is from RNAcentral.
GUGUCAGCCGCCGCGGUAAGACGAAGGGGGCUAGCGUUGUUCGGAAUUACUGGGCGUAAAGCGCGUGUAGGCGGUUGUCCAAGUCGGGUGUGAAAGCCUUGAGCUCAACUCAAGAAAUGCACUCGGUACUGGGUGACUAGAGGACCGGAGAGGAUAGUGGAAUUCCCAGUGUAGUGGUGAAAUACGUAGAGAUUGGGAAGAACACCAGUGGCGAAGGCGGCUAUCUGGACGGUUUCUGACGCUAAGACGCGAAAGCGUGGGGAGCAAACAGGAUUAGAUACCCUGGUAGUCCACGCCGUAAACGAUGGGUGCUAGACGUUGGCGAGCUUGCUCGUCAGUGUCGCAGCUAACGCGUUAAGCACCCCGCCUGGGGAGUACGGCCGCAAGGUUGAA